GAUGAACGCUGGCGGCGUGCCUAAUACAUGCAAGUCGAACGGAAAGGCGCUGCGCUUGCGGCGUGCACGAGAGGCGAACGGGGGUGAAAAACGCGUGUAAAACGCACUUGACUGUGGGGUAUAUCUACGAAACACGGGCUAUAAUCCGAUAGAAGCUCUUGAAGCACGUUGGGGGUUGGAAAGAUUCGGCUGUUGGGUAACGUAUAGCGGGUUACGCGCGUCAUGAGCUAGUUGGUAAGGUAACGGCGUACCAAGGCAACGAUGCGUAGCCGACCUGAGAGGGUGGUCGGACACACUGGAACUGAGACACGGUCCAGACGCCUACGGGAGGCAGCAGUAGGGAAUCUUCCGCAAUGGGCGAAAGCCUGACGGAGCAACGCCGCGUGAGUGAUGAAGGUCUGCGGAUCGUAAAACUCUGUUAUUAGGGAAGAACAAAUGUGUAAGUAACUAUGCACGUCUUGACGGUACCUAAUCAGAAAGCCACGGCUAACUACGUG
This 497-nucleotide ribosomal RNA is filed under the name uncultured bacterium. Its description in RNAcentral is "partial 16S ribosomal RNA". It matches the Rfam family "Bacterial small subunit ribosomal RNA", at positions 28 to 507 of the family's 1533-position model. The record is from RNAcentral.